This 489-nucleotide ribosomal RNA is filed under the name Colletotrichum sp. FLS-2010. RNAcentral's name for it is "eukaryotic LSU rRNA". The stretch from base 166 to 319 matches the Rfam family "5.8S ribosomal RNA". Lineage: Eukaryota; Fungi; Ascomycota; Sordariomycetes; Glomerellales; Glomerellaceae. The record is from RNAcentral.
GUGAACAUACCUACAACUGUUGUUCGGCGGGCAGGCCGUCCCCUGAAAAGGACGCCUCCCGGCCCGGACCGGACCCCCCGCGGGACCGGACCCGGCGCCCGCCGGAGGAUAACCAAACUCUAUUGUAACGACGUUUCUUCUGAGUGGCAUAAGCAAAAUAAUCAAAACUUUUAACAACGGAUCUCUUGGUUCUGGCAUCGAUGAAGAACGCAGCGAAAUGCGAUAAGUAAUGUGAAUUGCAGAAUUCAGUGAAUCAUCGAAUCUUUGAACGCACAUUGCGCCCGCCAGCAUUCUGGCGGGCAUGCCUGUUCGAGCGUCAUUUCAACCCUCAAGCUCUGCUUGGUGUUGGGGCUCUACGGUCGACGUAGGCCCUCAAAGGUAGUGGCGGACCCUCCCGGAGCCUCCUUUGCGUAGUAACAUUUCGUCUCGCACUGGGAUCCGGAGGGACUCUUGCCGUAAAACCCCCCAAUUUUCCAAAGGUUGACCUCG